RNAcentral lists this ribosomal RNA (684 nucleotides) under Kluyvera intermedia. RNAcentral describes it as "partial 23S ribosomal RNA". It matches the Rfam family "Bacterial large subunit ribosomal RNA", at positions 2259 to 2925 of the family's 2925-position model. Lineage: Bacteria; Pseudomonadati; Pseudomonadota; Gammaproteobacteria; Enterobacterales; Enterobacteriaceae. The record is from RNAcentral.
UGGUGGGUAGUUUGACUGGGGCGGUCUCCUCCCAAAGAGUAACGGAGGAGCACGAAGGUUGGCUAAUCCUGGUCGGACAUCAGGAGGUUAGUGCAAUGGCAUAAGCCAGCUUGACUGCGAGCGUGACGGCGCGAGCAGGUGCGAAAGCAGGUCAUAGUGAUCCGGUGGUUCUGAAUGGAAGGGCCAUCGCUCAACGGAUAAAAGGUACUCCGGGGAUAACAGGCUGAUACCGCCCAAGAGUUCAUAUCGACGGCGGUGUUUGGCACCUCGAUGUCGGCUCAUCACAUCCUGGGGCUGAAGUAGGUCCCAAGGGUAUGGCUGUUCGCCAUUUAAAGUGGUACGCGAGCUGGGUUUAGAACGUCGUGAGACAGUUCGGUCCCUAUCUGCCGUGGGCGCUGGAGAAUUGAGGGGGGCUGCUCCUAGUACGAGAGGACCGGAGUGGACGCAUCACUGGUGUUCGGGUUGUCAUGCCAAUGGCAUUGCCCGGUAGCUACAUGCGGAAGAGAUAAGUGCUGAAAGCAUCUAAGCACGAAACUUGCCCCGAGAUGAGUUCUCCCUUGUCCUUUAAGGACACUAGAGGAACGUUGAAGACGACGACGUUGAUAGGCCGGGUGUGUAAGCGCAGCGAUGCGUUGAGCUAACCGGUACUAAUGAACCGUGAGGCUUAACCUUACAACGCCGAAG